RNAcentral lists this long non-coding RNA (236 nucleotides) under Elaeis guineensis (African oil palm). Its description in RNAcentral is "long non-coding RNA (EGUI_LNC056587)". The record is from RNAcentral. Lineage: Eukaryota; Viridiplantae; Streptophyta; Magnoliopsida; Arecales; Arecaceae.
AUUCAAAGCAGUUUACACCAUAAACCAGAUAUCCAAACUAAUGAUUUUCUUUAGGAGAAUUUCAGCAAAAGAGACUGAUAGCGAUGGAUCGAACUCUGGGAGGGAAUAAAGAAAAAAGGGCAUUCAUAGAGACGACUACCUACAUCUCAUGUGUAGGCGAGUAUUUUUUUCAUCUUAAUCCCUUCCAUGUCAGCUCCUCUAUCACCGUUAAGUUGCCAUGUUGGACCAUAACCCCA